This is a non-coding RNA of Desarmillaria tabescens, 94 nucleotides long. NCBI's taxonomy places the organism in Eukaryota, Fungi, Basidiomycota, Agaricomycetes, Agaricales, Physalacriaceae. The record is from the annotation of a RefSeq genome assembly.
GGGUCAAUGGCGUAGCUGGUUAUCGCAUCUGUCUAACAUCCUUUCUGAAUUCUGUAUACACGGAAGGUCCUCAGUUCGAACCUGGGUCGACUUA